This is a non-coding RNA of Schizosaccharomyces pombe (fission yeast), 374 nucleotides long. The record is from the annotation of a GenBank genome assembly. NCBI's taxonomy places the organism in Eukaryota, Fungi, Ascomycota, Schizosaccharomycetes, Schizosaccharomycetales, Schizosaccharomycetaceae.
GAUUAGGGAAUUGGGGAGUUAUGCACAAACUAAGAUGGGAGCAAGAAAUGAUAUAAAUGAUAUCGAGGAAAACAGAAAUGGAUAAAUCUACAGAUCAUCCUUGGAAGGCUCUUCUUCCAUCGUGUUGUCGGCGUCCAGCGUCUCUUCAGUUUGAUCGUCCAUAUCAGUUUUAUCGUCCUCAUUAUCAGCAUCAUUCUCUGCCGUUUGUUUUACACUUGUAAACACUGGUGAUGGGGAUUUCUUUUCAGAAGAUCUCUCGGGGCGAUGACUUGAAGUCUCAAAGUCAGGAGCUGUAGACUUCGCUACGUCGUGAUCAUCUUCAACGUCUGAAGCAUGUUUUGCAACGGGAGACAUGCUGCCUUCCCGAUUUUUCU